RNAcentral lists this ribosomal RNA (253 nucleotides) under uncultured bacterium. RNAcentral describes it as "partial 16S ribosomal RNA". It matches the Rfam family "Bacterial small subunit ribosomal RNA", at positions 524 to 776 of the family's 1533-position model. The record is from RNAcentral.
UACGGGGGGGGCAAGCGUUGUUCGGAUUUAUUGGGCGUAAAGAGCGUGUAGGCGGCUCGGUAAGUCCGCUGUGAAAGUCCAGGGCUCAACCCUGGAAUGCCGGUGGAAACUGUCGAGCUAGAGUCCGGAAGGGGCGAGUGGAAUUCCUGGUGUAGCGGUGAAAUGCGCAGAUAUCAGGAGGAACACCAAUGGCGAAGGCAGCUCGCUGGCUCGAUACUGACGCUGAGGUGCGAAAGCGUGGGGAGCAAACAGG